Molecule: long non-coding RNA, 95 nt
Organism: Lepidothrix coronata (blue-crowned manakin)
Lineage: Eukaryota; Metazoa; Chordata; Aves; Passeriformes; Pipridae
Exons: 4
Source: RefSeq, a predicted model, not a curated record
AAGUGGAUUUGGGAACAGGUGUCUAAUAUAAAGAAAAAAGUUGAAAAAGAAGACGAAGGAUGAAAACGGUAGAGCACAUGUCUGACCUCCAGCAA